RNAcentral lists this ribosomal RNA (413 nucleotides) under uncultured bacterium. RNAcentral's name for it is "bacterial SSU rRNA". It matches the Rfam family "Bacterial small subunit ribosomal RNA", at positions 355 to 783 of the family's 1533-position model. The record is from RNAcentral.
UGGGGAAUCUUGGACAAUGGGGGCAACCCUGAUCCAGCCAUGCCGCGUGAGUGAUGAAGGCCUUAGGGUCGUAAAGCUCUUUCGCCUGUGAAGAUAAUGACGGUAGCAGGUAAAGAAACCCCGGCUAACUCCGUGCCAGCAGCCGCGGUAAUACGGAGGGGGUUAGCGUUGUUCGGAAUUACUGGGCGUAAAGCGCACGUAGGCGGACCAGAAAGUUGGGGGUGAAAUCCCGGGGGCUCAACCCCGGAACUGCCUCCAAAACUAUUGGUCUAGAGUUCGAGAGAGGUGAGUGGAAUUCCAAGUGUAGAGGUGAAAUUCGUAGAUAUUUGGAGGAACACCAGUGGCGAAGGCGGCUCACUGGCUCGAUACUGACGCUGAGGUGCGAAAGUGUGGGGAGCAAACAGGAGUUAGAU